GGUAAGUCUGAAAAUCAGCUGCGCAACUGAGGACCUGAAGGACCCCCCUCCCCCUCUUCGACUCUUGUUUUCUUCGGAGAUACCCACUCAUAACAUCUUUCACAUCUUCUUCUUCACCAGAAGAAGAACGAGACCUAAGCUAAUACAUGCCUCCACCCUAAAGAAUCCCGCUGCAAAAACACACAUACACAAGAAAUAAGAUCUGGGAAGGAACACGAGCAAAAGAAAAGUUGUCUAGCCAUGGAACCUUUGUUUCUCACCCCAAAAUACCUAGCAAAAAUGAGUUGGAAAUAACCGCAAAACGGAACCUCCCCCAGCUCAAAAACAUAGCUGAAAACAUGGCCAAAUAAAUCAGCCCCAAACUAAACUAAAAUCAGCCGAAAAAUGCAGCAAAAUCCACUUCAAAACACCACCGCCAACCUUGCUGAAAUUUAGCUCCAAAAUAGCUUCGAACUCAGCUGUAGUUCAGUCCAUGAACCAAUUAAUCAGAUCUUAAAUCACCAUAAAGAUAGACGAGGUCGAAUUCGCCGUCGCUGUUUUCGGCCAUGGUCACUGGUAUUUGGUCCGUUUGUUGAUUUGCAAACAUUUAAAGUUCAAAUUUCAGUUUCAAAAGGUUCAUUCUUCUUCUCCCUUUCUAUGGUUUGCACUGUUAUUUUGUGUAUUGUGAUGGAUUACUCCUUGAUAUUAUUUCGUUGUGAUAAUUUUCGUGUUAUUAAAAUUGUGAUCCAAAUUCUUAGACUUGCUUAGCUGCAAUUAUUUUAGUACGAUUUCUCUCCUAGCGUUCACCAGGCUGAGGACAAGAUGCCUCUUUAUCUAAACUAAAAUUUGACAUUUUAUUUUAAUGGUUAUAAGUUGAUUAUCUUGGGAUCACGUAUUUGAUAUCUUCCCUCUAUAUGAAUAGCACCUCUUUGAUUCUUAGAUAUGUCAAAUAGUCUAUUAUGUUCACAAAUAUAUGGGAUAGUUUUGAAGGCGUAAUUCUCUAUUUAUUUAGCUAAUUUUUAGUCACAAAAGGAAGUAUAACAGUAUAUCCUUCAAGUACUCAUUGGAUUCCUUUUUUUUGAAACGUUGAAUUCAGAUUUUGUGAUAAGUAUUUUGUUUCUUCUAUAAAAUUUUCGUGGAAUUUGGAGUAUUCUAGUGUUCUGUCCUCUUAUCAAUAUUUUUGAACAUGUUCCGUUUUAAUUAGUUUCAAAUUAACCUUAGAAUUCGAGGCAUGUUAUUUAGCAAAAUGUCAUGGUCCUCGCAAAAUUAAAAACGCGUAGUUGCUUUAGGCGCAUUAUUUAAAUAAUUUACCUUCCUUAAAUUCGUGUACGUAUUGAUGUGACCCAAAUCCAAAUCUCAAUGUUAAAAUAUGUCGAAGACCGUGGGUAUAUUUAUGUGAUGUGGUCCCAGAUGCGUUUUAACAACGUUACAAUCUUCUUAAAAUUGAAUAAAGACGGUCAUAAGUUAAAAUUUGCACAUAAGUUCAUAAUUGUAAAAAAUCAAAUGAUUAAGCUAAUUAUAACAGUUGAGCAACGGUGCUAUAACCACGAAACUCGGGAAUGCCUAACACCUUCUCCUAAGUUAACAGAAUUCCUUACCUGGAUUUCUGGCUCGUAGACUAUAUUACAGAGUCAAACCUUCCUUAAUUCAGAAUUUUAAACCGGUGACUUGGGACACCAUUAAUUAUCUCAACUGGCGACUUUGAAUUUUUAAAUAAAUAAAUCCUAUUUUGAUUGUCACUUUAAUUGGAAAAAACUUCCAUCUACAUCCUUUGUAGGGAGUAGUAAAAAAAGGAGGUGUGACAAUGAGGAGGGGUGAGGUUUUUUCUUCAGUAUUUUUUCUUUGGCUAGAGGUUUUUUUUUUUUCAAUUUUUUUCUGAUUUAUGACACGUGUCAGAUGCUGAUUGGCGAGUGUAAUAGCAAUCUUUAAACAAA
This 1913-nucleotide long non-coding RNA is filed under the name Nicotiana benthamiana. Its description in RNAcentral is "long non-coding RNA (NBEN_LNC028826)". Lineage: Eukaryota; Viridiplantae; Streptophyta; Magnoliopsida; Solanales; Solanaceae. The record is from RNAcentral.